AAAAAAUGUAAUUACUGCAGUAAACAUAUUAAUAGGAAGAGCAUAUGUUGACAAACGACUGCAUGGAGAUUUAGACAUGCAUUUAUCAAUAGGACUUGGGUAGCCUAAUCCUCUUCUAUCCCACUGCUUCAAGAGAUUUCUUAUUAAUGCAACCUCGGAUGGAUUUGAUGUGCAUAUGGCUAGCCCAGGAACCCGGAGUAUCCAUUAGAAUUAAUUUUCCAAAGGCGGCACUCUAAGGCUGCUUCUGGAUUUAUUCUAGCUGCAAAGUGAUUAAGAAAGGUGAACUGCAAAGAAAUUAAUAGGUAGAGUAAAUCAGUGGGAGGUUUUUACACCAGCUGAGGUGAAAUUUGACCCUUUGGGAGAACUCAGGAGAGCCAGAGAGAUAUCUUCUCAUUCAGGCUGUUGGGGAGAAGCAGCAGUGAUCAGCUCCAGCUGUCUCUCUCACUAAAGCCAAUUACAGGUGUACUUCCCCACACUUGACAUCUCAUUUUCUAAGUCUGUAAAGUUAGGAUAACAUUUAGUUCAUUAUCUCCCAGUGGCAUUGUAUGUAUCAUUUUUUUAGGUUUUAAUGAAAGAUAAACCACAAAGCUGUAAAACAUGCAGAGCCUUGCUGGUGUAGGGAAACAGGAAUUGUUUUUGACAGUUCUUGUAGCUGCUAUAUUUUAGUAUACAGGGAUAAAUAGGGCUGUAGCUCAUGUGAGCAAGUGCUAAGGGGAAAAAUUUGGUUUCCAUGUGAGGAAGUAUAGGAAGACAUGGACUUACAAGUUUAUUACAGUCCUUCAUGAAGAAACCUGUCAGGAGUGGUGUCUUGUGCUAGACGCAGCGUACAAAGAACAUCAAGAAGGAGGGGCGUCUUGAUGAGAAGUGAUCCCCUGUCUGAGCGAUAUUGGCAAGAGAGAGGAGACAAAAGGAGAUUUCGCUUGGUUAGAACUUCUAGAUUCUUCUUUGGCAAGAAAGAUGGCAAUGAUGCACCACUUUUCUUCAGUGAUUCUUGUCUGGCUGGCAAUGUAACAGUCCUGUCUUGUCCAUCAUUUUCCACAGUUUUGGUGGAAUUUCCCCUGACUUCAUGAGCAGAAGUGGCUGUAAAUGUGGCUGAGGAAAGCAUGUCUUUGAUAAACUCAAAAAGGCAACUUUUAAAUAUUUUUUAACAUUAUUUAUUGAAAAAAAAAUAAAAACCCAACUAAAUAAAGC
RNAcentral lists this long non-coding RNA (1191 nucleotides) under Anser brachyrhynchus (Pink-footed goose). Its description in RNAcentral is "lncRNA (ENSABRG00000022231.1)". Lineage: Eukaryota; Metazoa; Chordata; Aves; Anseriformes; Anatidae. The record is from RNAcentral.